AGGGGAGUAGCUGGGUAAAAUGGUGGUUCCAUUCCCAACUUUCCAAGGAAUCUCCAUACUACUUUCCAAAUUGGCUGCACCAAUUUGCAUUCCCACCAGUAAU
RNAcentral lists this microRNA precursor (103 nucleotides) under Marmota monax (woodchuck). The record is from RNAcentral. Lineage: Eukaryota; Metazoa; Chordata; Mammalia; Rodentia; Sciuridae.